Hipposideros armiger (great roundleaf bat) is the source of this 421-nucleotide long non-coding RNA. RefSeq lists it as uncharacterized. NCBI's taxonomy places the organism in Eukaryota, Metazoa, Chordata, Mammalia, Chiroptera, Hipposideridae. The transcript has 3 exons. The record is from RefSeq and is a predicted model, not a curated record.
AAACUGGUGGCCUGGUGAGCUGGACGUAGACUUUCAGGCAGAACUUUAGGAUUUGAAGAAGACAUCCUUUUCAGAUAGUCCUCAUUCCGGUCCUGCAAGGUAAUGAUUCCCCACUUUCUACCACUGGGAAGCCCACGACCAGAGACGUGAUGUGAGUUUUCCAAAGUCACACAGCACGGACGGCAGAAGUCAGGUCUGGCAGAGCCAGAGCCUGUUCCGUAACCAUGUCCGGAAGCAAAACCCCUGAGGCCUUUGUGGGAGUCAGGAAACUUCUGCCACUUAGCAGCUGGGAUCUUGGACAAGGAACCGAACCCCCGUGUGCCGUGGUUUCUUGGGCUGUGCUGUGACGUGGAGAAAAUAUCUCUUAGGGUUGUCAAAAGGACCAACAUGAGUUCGUGGAUGUCCAAGGCUCGUGGCAGUA